RNAcentral lists this microRNA precursor (90 nucleotides) under Canis lupus familiaris (dog). Its description in RNAcentral is "mir-8799 microRNA precursor family". It matches the Rfam family "mir-8799 microRNA precursor family". Lineage: Eukaryota; Metazoa; Chordata; Mammalia; Carnivora; Canidae. The record is from Rfam by way of RNAcentral. RNAcentral also lists the same sequence under 1 other name.
GGGGAGCGCAGGAUCCUGGGCUGUGUCCCCGGCGCCCUGGGCUCCAGGGCCUGCGCCGCGGGAAUCGCGCUCCCGGGUGCGCAGCUCCCU